UGGAACGCCAGUGUUAAUGGUCAUGGU
RNAcentral lists this small RNA (27 nucleotides) under Bombyx mori (domestic silkworm). RNAcentral's name for it is "ovarian small RNA-34435". Lineage: Eukaryota; Metazoa; Arthropoda; Insecta; Lepidoptera; Bombycidae. The record is from RNAcentral.